ACGAGAGAGCAAGCAUCGACUUGCAUGUUUGUUUGUGCCUCGCGCGCGCAAUAGUGUUGUGUGGAAUAAAAGUGUUAAAACACAAAAAUUUGUUUGUGGCAAAAAAGUAAAGUGUAUGUGAAUGUGAGUGUACGAAUGUGCAAAUAAAAAAAAAGCGAAAACAAAGUAACGAGGAGCUACGUUCUCGCAGUCGGGGGCGGCAAACAGCAAAAGUUCAAAUAUCAAAACACAAACCGCAGUUGCUGCCGCAGCCACCGCCGCAGUUGCACUUUGUUGCCGCUAGUCGCAGUCGUCGCUUGUCGCGUUUGACGUUUGUCGGUUCUCCUCCUCGGUCGGCGGCGUAUUUGUUGUUUUUCUUUCGGCAAACUCAACGGCGGAGCAGAACCAGAAAAGAAGGUGGAGCAGAGGCAGGCGUUGCGCGCGUCCGUCGGAGGUGCCAACAGCAAGAGCGAAUGUGUUUCAAUGAUGUUACUGCCUUCGGGGCGUUCGAAUAGUGAUGUCUAUCCGUUACAAAAUGCCAGCACACAAUCGCCCUCAGUGGUGGGCGCGUCCAAGCCUCUGUUACUGACAAGAACAUCAUCGCCACAACUGACAACGUUGCCAAUGUCAAAUGGCGGCGCCAACACCAACGCCAACGCCAUCACCAACUCCAGCGCCAACUCGAGCGCCGCCUACACAACGCUGCUAAAGUCCUCCAACAUCGCGCCACAAGAAACGGCCGGAAGUCUGUCGGAGACCGGAACACAGGCGGCAACGACGACGUCAACGACAACAGCGACGGCAACGGCGGCAUCGACGAUACCAGCAACAACUGUGGACACCAUCAAUUCCGGACUUGGGGUUGCUGGCAUCUAUGGCCCAAUUUUGGGGCAGAGUCAUGCCGGCAGCAUUGCCAUCGGAAAUUGGGGUGAAAUUGAUCGACACCUCGAGGCGGUGCAGGACAAGCUGAAAGCUGGCUGGACCGUGCAUGUGGGCAAGGAAGGCAGACUUUACUACUGCAACCACUUGACGCAAUCAUCUGGCUGGCUGCCUGCUUGUGAGGAUUGGAGCAAACAUGAAGAGCUCACCUACGGUUGGGAGCGUGCCAUAGACUCCAAGGGUCGAUCGUACUACAUCAAUCACUUGAACAAGACGACCACGUAUGAGACACCUGAGUGCAUAAGAUGGGAUGAGCAUCCGCCAGAGCCACGUCUGGUGCUGUUGCUGCGCAGCUCCAGCUUGGGCUUUGGCUUUGUGGCGGGCAGUGAAAGGCCUGUCAUAGUACGCUUUGUGACUGAGGGCGGUCCCAGCAUUGGGAAGCUGCAGCCAGGCGACCAGAUAUUGGCAGUCAACGGUGAGGAUGUGAAGGAUGCGCCCAGGGAUCAUGUCAUACAGCUGGUGCGUGCCUGUGACACUCAGGUGUCUUUGCUCGUCUGUCAGCCCAUGGCGCACUGUGUGAUGCCAGGUCGUAAAUCGACUCUGCUUUCCGCUGGUAAAAGGGCAAAGCUGCGCUCGCGUCCAAGUCGCGUGCGUUUCGCAGAGAGCGUGUGCGUCAAUGGAGCACCAUUGUUUCCGCCUUCGGCCUUUUCGCUGGGCGACAUCUGUGUGCCACCCAUGGCAAAUGUGCUCAAGGUCUUUCUGGAGAAUGGCCAGACCAAGUCGUUUAAGUACGAUGCGACCACCACAGUGCAGGAUGUGGUUAGCUCGCUGCUGGACAAGCUCUGCCUCUGCUGUGGCGAACUCUUCAGUCUGGUGCUGGAGCACGUCAAGAGUCUAAAGCGCAACAAACUCACGCUUCUAGAUCCACAGGAGUCAUUAGCUCGCAUUGCUGCUAGGCCUGGUGCCCACAAGCUGCGCUGCCUGUUUCGCAUCACUUUUGUGCCCAUUUCGGCCGCCGAAUUGGCGCAACGGGAUCUGCAUGCACUCGACUAUCUGUAUUUGCAGUGCUGCAACGAUGUCAACCAGGAACGUUUUGCACCCGAAUUGCAACCAGAGCUGGCAUUGCGUCUGGCCGCUCUCCACAUGCAUCAGCAUGCGUUGGCCAAUAACUUUGCGCCCGCUAAGCUCACCGUUAAGCUGGUCGAACGGGAGUUUGGCCUGGAACGCUUUGUGCCUGUCAGCUUAUUUGAGGGCAUGAAACGCAAGGAGCUGCGCCGCCUCAUUUCACACUUUCUUAAGCUCAACGCGGAGAUGACGGGUUCCUCCAGCAAGGUUCUUACUCAACUGCAGGCGAAACUCCAUUACCUAGAUAUAAUCGCUAGUUUACCAAGCUAUGGCGCCAAAUGUUUCAGCACAAACCAAAGAGAAGGCAUGGAACGAGUUCUGCUGAUCAGUCCGCGGUUCGGCCUGAGUCAAAUAUCCAGUGCUCGCAAUUCAGUGCCACAGCCCAUUUCGGCCAUUGAGGACUUCACACAUGUGGUAGUCCAUCGCGAGGAUGAUGUCACCUGCAGCGUGUCCAUCUAUAUGCUGGGCGAUCGUGCAGUCAAGUUCAUCAUGGAGGAUCGCGAUGCUUGCGAGUUUAGUCUGGUGCUCGGCGGCUACUAUCGACUGUUAACAGGGAACAUACUGAAUGUGCUGCGAGAGCGCGAACCGCACGAGGAUGACAAUGCACCCGCAUUCCUGUCUCAGCACACAGUGUUGCCCGCCGGCUGGAGCUAUCUGCUGCCAUUCCAUACGCGUGCGCACAGCGUCAACUUCCUGAUCACGCCGCCAUAUCAUCCGAUGCCGCACAAGGCGGUGCUCUCGCAACCACAGCCCGCUCAGCCGCAAUCGCUGCCCUACGCCACCGACUUGGAUCUGCACAGCGUGAUGGCCACCGAACUGCUCGAGGAGGCGGCCAAGGACUCUGGGCUGAGCGACAGCAGCGGCAGCAACUAUUGCAGCGAGGGACGCAGUCAACUGGCCGUCGAAGCAAAGAACGAGCAAGUGUUGCGACGUGUGCAGGAGCUACAGCAGCUUGUCCAAUGCUCAGAGCAGUAUCUCAGCGAGCAGGAGCAGGAAUUGCAGCAAAUCCAGCUGCAUCAACAGCACCAGCAACAGCAGCUGGGUCAAAGCGUAGCCAUGCUAGAGUUCGACAGCGACUGCGACAGCCUGAACAGCAGCAAAGUCUCUUCCACGGAGGAGGCCAACAUCAGUCAUCUCGUCAGCGCUGGCUCGCAUGCUUUGAAGCACAGUGAUUCACUGCAGCUGCUGGCUGACACCAUUAGCCAUGAGUUGACGGGCAUCACGCAGGGACUGAAUGCCAUACCGGAGCCGGUGUCUGCCUCGGCACCGCCCACACCCGCCACGCCCAAGCGCAAGCCGAGCUUGUGCAGCACUUCGAGUCCACGACCACAACGCAAGCUCAACGGCUUCAGUCAGCUGCUGAGCGAUCUACAGGCACUCGGCACAGAUUUCUCGCAGAGCGAAAGCGAUUCCGAAUCUGUUGCCUCCCCGGCACAAUCGCCCACCACACGACGGCCACAGCAGCUCAUGCAGUCAGGUGCCAAACAGCAGCUGGCACAGCGCAGUAGCUUUGGACUGCAUAGUCCCGAUGGCACACACUUUGGUGCCGAGACCAAGGAUUAUAAUCUGCGCGAGUAUCUGCAGCAGCUGAAGGAGAUUAGCAAUGUGCCAGCAGCAGAUACGGAUGUGGCUGCUCGCCAGCUCUCCGAGAUAUAUGGCUUUGAGGUGCGCGAGGAUACAUUCAUUGAGACGGACACAGAUUUGAUUGAUUUGCGUGCCAUACCGCCGCCCCAAACGCCCGAUGAGCUGGACUCACUGUCGCUGAUGAAUGCGGCGCCGCCCAAGGGCUUCGAGGGCAAGGCCGAGGAGCUGGAUAGCUUUCUGCAACAGAUGCUGGUGGCACCGCCCACUCAGAAGGCCACGCCCGCCAAGGAAUUGACGCCAGAGGAGAUAAUGUCAUUCAUUAUACCGCCACCACCCAAUCUGGAGGCAGUGCAGCCGGAAACCGAAUGCCUCUACAGCAAUUCGGUGCAGGCGAAGCGUGAGUUUUUCCAAACUGUGGCCAAUGGCAACAGCAACCAUACCAACAACAACAACAACAACAAUAUUAGCAAGGAUCUAUCAUCACACGUCAUUGAGUAUCCCACCGUGGAGCGCAAGAGCAAAUUCAGCUGCUGUCCCACAUCCAACAAGAAGGAAGAGACUUUACCAAUAGAUGAGCAGGCAGCCAUGCAACUUCCAAUGCAACCGCCACCGCGUACACCCACCACGGAGCAGAUGACGCCGCCACCGGCGCGUCCGCCCAAAAGCGCCGAGCUGCUGCAGCGAUAUUCGCCCAAGAAGCAGCUGCGCAUCGUUGCACCCGUGAGUGUGCCAUUUCGUGAGCUGUGUCCGCCACAACUACCGCCCCGUAGCAGCCCAACGGCCAGCUCGGAGCCGUGCACUCCGCAGCCCACGGUGGGCAUAAUGGGAGCUGGAUCAGUGUCAGCGGUGAGUGUGCCCAAGAAACCCCCGUUGCCGCCCAUUGCCAGUCGUCCACGUCCCGUCAAUGGCAUACCCAACGCCAGCACACCCGCCAGCACCAUCACAACAACAAUACCGCCCAUACCGGCCACUGCCCGCCUACCCAAUGCGCAUUCCAAUGGCCAGCCGGCGCUGCCCAAGAAGCCACAACAGCUGCACGGCGAGAAGCUGUUCAUCAAGAACGGCCAUCUUAUCGAUGGCGAAGCGCUGCUGGCCAAAACAGAUGUGGCCAUGGCCGGUCUGCUCAUUAAACUGGAUCAAGUGGCCGCUCAGUGCUCGGCCGCACAGUCGGCUGGCGGCGGAGCCAGCAUCGAUGAGGAAAAAUUCCAACGAGCCCGCAACGAGCUAACAGAACAAACGCUUGCCCUUGUUACGGCUAGCAAAUUCCUGGUGGCCUCCAUGUCGGACAUGACACUGAUAACGCUGCCCGAUCACCUGACCUCCUGCCUGACGGCCAUUAGACGCAUUACCGAGCUGGCCCAGGAUAUGACCCGACACACAUCGGCACCGUUGCAGACGCGCAACAUUGUGCUAAAGGUGCACGAUGUGGCGAGCAGUUUCCGCGAACUGGUUGGCGUACAGAUUGGCCCGAUUGGUGCCGGCCAAUUGGCUCUGCAGGCCGAAUGCCUAGCGAAUGUGUUGGCAACGCUGUUGCGCAGCUUGCGUGUGUUUUCGCCCUAGACCAGAUCCCCAAUAAAUCAAAUCCACGACAUAUCGCUCGCCCGUAUAACUAUUCAACCAUCGAAAUAAGUAAAAGGCAACGUCAGAGAGUCGUUGGUCUGAACUUUUAGACUACGAUAGCUAUACGAUACGUAAACAACACUAAACUCUAGCGGAAACUUGAACAUAACCAAAUCUAUAAGUCGCGUUCAGAUACUUCUAAUAUACAACACAUGCAACCAAAGCAACAUUUGCAAAAUUCUUAAGUAUUUUUUGAUUUCGAUAUCUUUUCUUUUUAAAGUUGCAGAAAAAGCUUAGUAAAACAUAUAUAGUCUAUAUAUUAACGCGACAUUAAAUCACAUAUACAAAAUAAUAAUGAAUAAAGAUUAUCAACUAUUUAAUAUUCUCAACUAACUGCAUGCAACUAACUCGAAUUUCUGUGUAAUCUCCUUAAGUAAAACAAUAACUCAACUUUUUGACUAUUCUAUCUUAUUGUUAGUACCAAUAAACCAUAUUAAGUAACUUCAUGACUUGAUUGUAGACCAAUUUAUAUACAUAUUUAACAAACAAACAAAACAGAAAAUACUAUACCAUAUUAAAUAUUCUUGUGUACAUAUAUACUUACAUAAAACAUAAUACAUACAUUUCAUAUAUAUACUUAUACACAUAGCAAACUAAAAAAAAAAACAAACAAAAAAAAUUAAAAAGAAAAUUGACCAAACAAUAAUCAAAAUUUUAACUUGUGAUAUAAAAAACAAAAAAUUAAUUAAUAAAAAUCCAUUGAUUUGAAUUUGUUUUCCUUAAACCUUAUUAUUUACAAUACUUGACAAGUCUUGUUAAUAUUAAUACACAUACACAUGCAUACGUACAAUAUAAUAAAAUAAUAUUUUUGUUAUUGUUUUAUCAUUAAUUUUUGUUGUAGACUCUCUUGAAUUGAAGUACAAGAACGCACACUAAGUUGUAGCUUUAACUAAUAUAUAAUCGUCUAUUGUUUAUAUUAAUGCAAUAUUAAUUAUUAAUCAAUUAGAUGAAAGAAAUAUAUCAAAAUAUAUAUAUCAUUUAGUAGUGCUAAUCCAGACUAAUAGUGGUUUUGUUUUUAAUCUGUUUUC
RNA transcript from Drosophila nasuta, 6215 nucleotides. RefSeq lists it as uncharacterized. The transcript is spliced from 11 exons. The record is from RefSeq and is a predicted model, not a curated record. NCBI's taxonomy places the organism in Eukaryota, Metazoa, Arthropoda, Insecta, Diptera, Drosophilidae.